This 238-nucleotide ribosomal RNA is filed under the name uncultured bacterium. RNAcentral describes it as "partial 16S ribosomal RNA". It matches the Rfam family "Bacterial small subunit ribosomal RNA", at positions 57 to 305 of the family's 1533-position model. The record is from RNAcentral.
GCAAGUCGAACGGACCUAUUUAUAGGUUAGUGGCAGACGGGUGAGUAACACAGGUAACUUACCCCUAAGACUGGCAUAACCAUCUGAAAAGGUGGCUAAUUCCAGAUAAUCUUGUUUAAUCGCAUGGUUUUACAAGGAAAUGUUUUUUCGCUUAGGGAUAGGCUUGUGCCUGAUUAGCUUGUUGGUAGGGUAAAGGCCUACCAAGGCUACGAUCAGUAGCUGGUCUGAGAGGAUGAAC